Molecule: long non-coding RNA, 3123 nt
Organism: Lycium barbarum (goji berry)
Lineage: Eukaryota; Viridiplantae; Streptophyta; Magnoliopsida; Solanales; Solanaceae
Exons: 2
Source: RefSeq, a predicted model, not a curated record
CAUUGCGACAGUCAAAGUUCUAUUCAUCUUGACAAGAACUGUACAUUUUAUGGUAAUUCGAAACAUAUUGAUGUGAGAUACCAUUGGAUUAGAGAUGUGUUGGAUUCUAAGUUGCUAGAAUUUGAGAAGAUUCACACUGAUGAUAAUGGUUCAAAUAUGAUGACUAAAGCUUUGCCAAGAGAGAAGUUUAAAGAGUGUUGUUUGAUCGCCGGGAUGGCGGUUUCCUCCACAUAGUCGGGAGGGGGAGAAUUGUUGGGUUUUUAGAUUUUCCAUUCCUAUGUGGAUUUGGAUUAAUAAAAUCCAAUCCGUUUUGGCCCAUCCCACUUUUGUCCUAAAAUCCACUAUAUAUAGGAUCAACUUAGGUCUUAUUUCAGAACAUAAGACUGAAUUCAUAACAACCAUAUAGAGACAAAAAUUGAGAGAGAAAAGGUGAUUUUCGGACCAGUGAAAAUCAGCUACAACAGUCCGCUUUAAAUUGUGUUUCCCAAUUUGUUAACCGUGGGAUCGUACUGAAAUUUCAACUGGGGGUUCUCAACAUAUGGUUCUUAGAUUUCAACGGUGGUGAUCGGAUUUUGUGGUCUAUAGAUCCAGUGUAGUACGAACAGUAGCUCGGUUGAUUUCUCUCAUUUCUUCACUAGUUUUGGUGAUAUCUUUUAUGUAUUGUUGCUCCGUGUUUGGCGUUGAUGUUAUAGCCAUUUGGAGAACAUUACUGUAACUCUUUUUUAUUAUAGUGAAGCUUUUGUGGGCCGGAGGUCCCGCGGAUGUUUCCUCUUCAACUUGAAGGGGUUUUACCACAUAAAUUUGAUGUCUCUUACAUUCUAUUUAGUUUACUUGCUUUGCUAUUUAUUGCUAGUAUAGUUUCUGCCCGGAUUUUCAUUUGUGCUGGUGUUUAUUGUCUUCUCUUAGUUCAAAUAGUGUGCAAAGUACUUAGGUAUUUCUUCCGCAGUUACCUCGUCGUGUAAUUUGGUUAUUGUUUGUUUCUUCCCAACAAAGUGGUAUCAAAGCCUCGUAGUGCCUUUUCUCCGUCUAUGAGCCGGUUUACAACCUUUACUUGUAGCUUUGAACACGCAUACACAGCCUUUGGGCUUCGGUGACCGUAAAUACUCUGAAGAUGUGGGUAGCACACAUACAUGUUCAAUUUCUGACCCAUGAGUUAUGGUAAUGAGCCAUGUGGAACUUAGUUCGGGGGGGGAGAUUGUUGGGUGUACGAACAAAGUAUCACAUUCGUAGCUAGAAAGAAAAAAGAGCUACUUAUAAGGAGUUGGAUACGCUUAAUGAUGUGAGGCCUUUUGGGGAAAAUCGUGCAGGCUUGGCCCAAAGCGGACAAUAUCACAUCAUGUUAAGAGUAUCUUUGAACUGUUUAGCCCAACAACUGGUAUCAGAGCCAAUGAUUUGGUAAAAUGAGUAUGAAGAUGGCGGAGUGCGGCAUAGGGCCCAUCUUAGUGCCUUUACCCAUCUAUGGGCUGGUUUACGACAUUUACCCAUAGCUUUGAAGACGCAUACACAACCUUUAGGCUUUGGUGACCGUAAAUACUUUGACGAUGUGAGUGGCACAAAGACACGUUGAAUCUCUGACUCGUGAUGAGUCAUGUGGAACUUAGCUCGAGGGGGAGAUUGUUGGGUGUGUGAACAAAGUACCACAUUAUUAGCUAAAAAGAAAAAAUAGUUAUUUAUAAGGUGUUGGAUACUCAUAAUGAUGUGAGACCUUUUGGAGAAAACCGUGCGGCUUGGCCCAAAGCGAACAAUGUUGACACCCAAUUCUGGCCCUCCUUUUUCAUUUAAUUAAUUUCACUAUGCUUCUUAGCCCUGAAAAUUCCCCAAAAUGAGUUUCGAAUAUUUUCGCAAUUACUAGACUAAUUUUUGAGAUAUUAUUAAGUUUAUUUUAUCAUUCCUAAAAAAAAUUACUAAACAUAACAAUUUAUAAUUAAAAUCACUCGAAAAUAACGUUGAUAUUCCGAUAUCAAUAUUGGUGUUGGCAUUUUUCCUUUAAUCCUAUUUAUUGUUGCAUCAAUAAUAUUUUACUCUAUUUUGAAACUAAAUAUUUAAAUUAGAUUGCUUAUAUUGUAAUUUAUAUAUGUAUGCAUUUUGCGGAAUUAAUUAGGAUAAAGAAGCAUAUUUUAAUUAAUUGAUUGAAGUAAAAAGGGAUUAGAAAUUAAUUCAUUUACAUAAUAUUGGGCCAAUUCCCUUUUCCCCCCAAACCAAAAUCUGUGGCCCAAAAUCCCACCGACCCGGCCCAAACACCUACAACUAAACCCCCUAAGUCCCUAAUCCAUCUUCAGCAACCAGAACCAAGCGAUCCCUUUCUCUUCAACUAUACCAAACGACCCCUUUCUUCAACCUAGCACAAAACCUUAGCCAUAUCCCACAAAAUCCGCCACCUACAUCCCUCUUCUCCUUUCUCACACUCCAUCUCUGAAGCUUGUAGGCUCCAUGUGCGAUUUCAGCAGAUUUCAUGGUAAGUCCCAUCCCCAUUUUCAUCAUCUUAUCUGUUGAAAACAUCUCCCAAAAUUUCCCCCUUUUUCCUUGUUUUUGAAUUUUGAAUUUCGAAUUCAAGCUUUAGUGAAGCUGCGGAAACCCUCAGUAUUUUGGCUAUAAAUACAGCCUUUCUGGGUUGUUUUAGAAUAAGUUUUUGAGGCUGAAAAUCCCCCCUUGAACAAAGCUUUCAUUAGGAGAAAAUCCCUAUUUUUCUUACUAUUUUUAAAAGCUCUUUUGCUAUCAGAAAAAUCCUUCUCUUUACUCUAAGUUCUUGGCUAAGCAAAACAACAAGAAAACUACUUCGAGCGGAUUUGAGGACUCGACGACAAUAGCCUCAGUUCGCUGUCACGAAGAAGCAUUUGGAGUUAUGACAACUCUAGAUCCUGCCCAUAUCAGAGAAGGCAACAGAAGCAGCCUAUGUUUCGUUCGUUAAUGUGUAGCAGUCUCAGUUCCUCAUUCAUGUCAAAAGUCUCCGUCCUCCCUCUGUUCGAACUUUAUGUCUUUGCGUAAACUUGUGUAUAUACAUGUUGUUUAUAUUUUUAACUAACAUUUUUAUGGAUUGUGUUUGUAGCAUAUUUGUGUCUUUGCUUGUGUAUGAACUCGCGGAGAAAUAGUUAAGUAUAGAAAUUUAAUUGUUUACUUUCCUCA